CAGUCGCCGCGGUAAUACGUAGGUCCCGAGCGUUGUCCGGAUUUAUUGGGCGUAAAGCGAGCGCAGGCGGUUAGAUAAGUCUGAAGUUAAAGGCUGUGGCUUAACCAUAGUACGCUUUGGAAACUGUUUAACUUGAGUGCAGAAGGGGAGAGUGGAAUUCCAUGUGUAGCGGUGAAAUGCGUAGAUAUAUGGAGGAACACCGGUGGCGAGAGCGGCUCUCUGGCUUGUAACUGACGCUGAGGCUCGAAAGCGUGGGGAGCAAACAGGAUUAGAUACCCGUGUAGUCCCUGUCUCUUAUACU
RNAcentral lists this ribosomal RNA (301 nucleotides) under uncultured bacterium. RNAcentral describes it as "partial 16S ribosomal RNA". It matches the Rfam family "Bacterial small subunit ribosomal RNA", at positions 509 to 810 of the family's 1533-position model. The record is from RNAcentral.